CCAUGAUAUAAAGAGACAUAUUUAACCACCUGCUGAAAGAAAUCUUAGAGGCCAGAGUGGUCACUUUCAUUUCUCAAAUGAAGAAAUUGAGGAUCAGAGACAGGGAGGUCUGACAUCUCUGUCUACGGUCAGAGAAGUUGCUGAUCCCAGACUUCAGAGUCAGUCUCCCAUAUUGCUUUUCGAAUCACAGAAUCUGGCCAAAGAUACACAGAAGAUUAGAGCUGGAAAGUAAUUUAGUGACCCGAUGUUGGCAUUUUACAAAUUAAAAAUGAAAAAGGAAGGAUCAGGAGGUGAAGACCCAAGUGGGAGGAAGCACCCUUUGGAUGAGGUUACUGCUGCUGCCACCAUGAAGCCGAGUUAACAUGAGGUGGAAAUCAGCCUUAAAAUCUAGGGGCUGUCCCUGCCAUCACUGUGCUGUCUGACAAUCACAAUAUUAAAUGUCCCCAGGACAAUGCUGUGGGCAGUUCCAGAUACCCUGCCUUGGCUAUACCUCUGCCCUAAAACUGGACCAGGGUCUUUCCUAUUGUCAGAGUUUCUCAUAAAACUGAUAAAUAGAUAAUCUGUCCACUUUGAACACCAAGAAAAAGAGAAAAACUGUGUCAUUGACUAUCACUCUCUACGCUCU
Molecule: long non-coding RNA, 625 nt
Filed under: Monodelphis domestica (gray short-tailed opossum)
Lineage: Eukaryota; Metazoa; Chordata; Mammalia; Didelphimorphia; Didelphidae
Description: lncRNA (ENSMODG00000038705.1)
Source: RNAcentral